RNAcentral lists this ribosomal RNA (492 nucleotides) under uncultured bacterium. Its description in RNAcentral is "partial 16S ribosomal RNA". It matches the Rfam family "Bacterial small subunit ribosomal RNA", at positions 29 to 507 of the family's 1533-position model. The record is from RNAcentral.
AGUGAACGCUGGCGGUAGGCCUAACACAUGCAAGUCGAACGGCAGCACAGUAAGAGCUUGCUCUUACGGGUGGCGAGUGGCGGACGGGUGAGGAAUACAUCGGAAUCUACUUUUUCGUGGGGGAUAACGUAGGGAAACUUACGCUAAUACCGCAUACGACCUACGGGUGAAAGCAGGGGAUCUUCGGACCUUGCGCGAUUGAUUGAGCCGAUGUCGGAUUAGCUAGUUGGCGGGGUAAAGGCCCACCAAGGCGACGAUCCGUAGCUGGUCUGAGAGGAUGAUCAGCCACACUGGAACUGAGACACGGUCCAGACUCCUACGGGAGGCAGCAGUGGGGAAUAUUGGACAAUGGGCGCAAGCCUGAUCCAGCCAUACCGCGUGGGUGAAGAAGGCCUUCGGGUUGUAAAACCCUUUUGUUGGGAAAGAAAAGCAGCAGGUUAAUACCCCGCUGUUCUGACGGUACCCAAAGAAUAAGCACCGGCUAACUUCGUG